RNAcentral lists this ribosomal RNA (500 nucleotides) under uncultured bacterium. RNAcentral's name for it is "partial 16S ribosomal RNA". It matches the Rfam family "Bacterial small subunit ribosomal RNA", at positions 28 to 507 of the family's 1533-position model. The record is from RNAcentral.
GACGAACGCUGGCGGCGUGCUUAACACAUGCAAGUCGAACGGGUCUGCCCUGUUUUUUGCGGGGUGGGUCAGUGGCGAACGGGUGAGUAACACGUGAGUAACCUGCCCCUCACUUCUGGAUAACCGCUUGAAAGGGUGGCUAAUACGGGGUGUUCUGGCUGUGCCGCAUGGUGUGGCUGGGAAAGAUUCACUUUUGUGGUGUUUUGGUGGGGGAUGGGCUCGCGGCCUAUCAGCUUGUUGGUGGGGUGAUGGCCUGCCAAGGCUGUGGCGGGUAGCCGGCCUGGGAGGGUGGGCGGUCACACUGGGACUGAGAUACGGCCCAGACUCCUGCGGGAGGCAGCAGUGGGGGGUAUUGCACAAGGGGCGGAAGCCUGAUGCAGCGACGUCGCGUGAGGGAUGGAGGCCUUCGGGUUGUGAACCUCUUUCGCCGGUGAAGAAGGUCCUGCUCUUUGUGGUGGGGUUGACGGUAGCCGGGUUAUGAAGCGCCGGCUAACUACGUG